This 462-nucleotide ribosomal RNA is filed under the name uncultured bacterium. RNAcentral's name for it is "bacterial SSU rRNA". It matches the Rfam family "Bacterial small subunit ribosomal RNA", at positions 28 to 490 of the family's 1533-position model. The record is from RNAcentral.
GACGAACGCUGGCGGCGUGCCUAACACAUGCAAGUCAACUUGACUGAAGGAGCAAUCUGACAGUAGAGUGGCGCAAGGGUGCGUAACGCGUAAGUAACUUGCCCAAGGUAAGGAAUAACGUCGAGAAAUCGGCGCUAAUACCUCAUAAUGCAGCGGAUCCGCAUGGAUAUGUUGUUAAAGGUUUACCGCCUUGGGAUAGGCUUGCGUCUGAUUAGCUAGUUGGUGUGGUAACGGCACACCAAGGCUACGAUCAGUAACUGGUCUGAGAGGAUGAUCAGUCACACUGGAACUGAGACACGGUCCAGACUCCUACGGGAGGCAGCAGUGAGGAAUAUUGGGCAAUGCUCGAAAGAGUGACCCAGCAACGCCGCGUGGAGGAUGAAGGUAUUCUAUAUCGUAAACUCCUGUGAAAGCAGACGAAAGACAGAUUAUUAAUCUGGAUGACUGUAUGCUCAGAGGGAG